GAGCAAGGAGGUUAGGGAAGGAAAAAUGACAACAAUACAUGGGGAGCCCAGGACUCUGUAUACACAUUCAGAAACAAGGUCAAAGAGAGCGUGGAGCAAUCAUCCAAUGAAUCCAAAUUCCACAUCAGCCCAGGAAAGGGCCCUUGUGAAUUGAUGAAUAUGAAGACACUAAGAAAGCAGAAAUAGAACUGAGAAGAAUGAAAUAACUGUCUCUACCUUUCUCGAAUUGUCUAAUAUGGAAAGAAUGAAAGACAGCUAAUAAGCAACUCUCUGCAAGAAGACAUAUGGCUUAGAGAUGGGAUCUUGCUAUGUGGCCCAGGCUGGCCUCAAACUCCUGGCCUCAAGAUAUUUCCCCCUGCCUUGGCCUCUCAAAGUGAAUCUACUUGGAGAGAGUCAAACACAGAAUCCCUUUGAAUUUAAUGGCCAUUCCAGGUGAUUUGAACAGCCAAAUAAGAAACAGGUCCUCUUCAAUGUACAAUCUGCCAAGUAUGAAGUCUGAAUGACCAUCAUUAUUAUGUAUUUAAUGUGCAUAGAAAAUCUAUCUGCAACCUUCCAGAGUGUACCAGAAGUUUGGAAUGUACAUUAUUAUUGGCUCCAUCUCAAACCACUCAUAAAUCAAAGAAAAUAGCAGUUCCAGAGGAAUCAUCAUAGAGGCUUCUAGGCCCCCAUGCUGUGUGAACCUGGUGAGAAAGGGAAGUCUGCUCUCACUGGACACUGGAACUGUUUGUCUCUGUCUCUGCUGUACUUUCCCUGCCUCUACCUCACUUAGUAAAGAAAUCAUCUUUGCUUGAUAACUAAAACAACCAAUAAGGCUGAGAAAGGGGAAAACCCACAUCUGGAUUUAAAUACAAGGUAUUGGGCCAGCUGCUGGGGAUUAAACUUUGAACAAAACAGAUAGAAUCUAUGUCCUCAUGGGAGUGGCUAAUGGGAGAGUCGGAACAAAAAAAUAGCCAAGGAUAAUCCAGCAAAUGAUUUGGUGAAUGCUAUCAAAGAGAGAAAUACACAUGCUCUGGGAACACCAAACAGAGUCUUGCUCUUGUUGCCCAGGCUGGAGUAUGAUGGUGCGAUCUCAGUUCACUGCAACCCCUGCCUCCCAGGUUCAAGUGAUUCUCCUACCUCAGCCUCCUGAGUAGCAGGGAUUAUAGGUACAAGCCACCACACCCGGCUAAUUUUUAUAUUUUUAGUAGAGACGGGGUUUCACCACAUUGGCCAGGCUGGUCUCGAACUCCUGACCUCAGGUAAUCUGCCCCUCGGCCUCCCAAAAUGCUGGGAUUAACAGGCAUGAGCCACAGCACCUGGCUGACUUUGCCUGUUUUAUAAUUUCACACAAUAAAAUCAUGCACUGUGCAUUUCUUUGUAUUGUCUCCUUUCACUCAGCAUAAUGUCUGUGUGAUUCAACCCUGUGGUGAUGUGUCAUUUUUUUAAAAAAAAUUAAGAUAUUUUAUUAUAUGAACAUACCAUAAUUUGUUUAUUCAUUUGGUGAACAUUGUGUUGAUGCCAGGUUUGGG
RNAcentral lists this long non-coding RNA (1508 nucleotides) under Homo sapiens (human). RNAcentral's name for it is "PREDICTED lncRNA (TCONS_00232912)". Lineage: Eukaryota; Metazoa; Chordata; Mammalia; Primates; Hominidae. The record is from RNAcentral.